CCUACGGGAGGCAGCAGUGAGGAAUAUUGGUCAAUGGCCGUAAGGCUGAACCAGCCAAGUAGCGUGAGGGAAGACUGCCCUAUGGGUUGUAAACCUCUUUUAUGCGGGGAUAAAGGUGUCCACGUGUGGAUGUUUGCAGGUACCGUAUGAAUAAGGACCGGCUAAAUCCGUGCCAGCAGCCGCGGGAAUACGGAAGGUCCGGGCGUUAUCCGGAUUUAUUGGGUUUAAAGGGAGCGUAGACCGGUCUUUAAGCGUGUCGUGAAAAUUUGUGGCUCAACCAUGACAGUGCAGCUCGCACUGGCGACCUUGAGUGCGCGGAAGGCAGGCGGAAUUCGUGGUGUAGCGGUGAAAUGCUUAGAUAUCACGAAGAACCCCGAUUGCGAAGGCAGCCUGCCACAGCGUUACUGACGCUGAAGCUCGAAAGCGCGGGUAUCGAACAGGAUUAGAUACCCGUGUAGUC
RNAcentral lists this ribosomal RNA (460 nucleotides) under uncultured bacterium. RNAcentral describes it as "partial 16S ribosomal RNA". It matches the Rfam family "Bacterial small subunit ribosomal RNA", at positions 338 to 795 of the family's 1533-position model. The record is from RNAcentral.